GAUGAACGCUGGCGGCGUGCCUAAUACAUGCAAGUCGAGCGAACAGACGAGGAGCUUGCUUCUCUGACGUUAGCGGCGGACGGGUGAGUAACACGUGGAUAACCUACCUAUAAGACUGGGAUAACUUCGGGAAACCGGAGCUAAUACCGGAUAAUAUAUUGAACCGCAUGGUUCAAUAGUGAAAGACGGUUUUGCUGUCACUUAUAGAUGGAUCCGCGCCGCAUUAGCUAGUUGGUAAGGUAACGGCUUACCAAGGCAACGAUGCGUAGCCGACCUGAGAGGGUGAUCGGCCACACUGGAACUGAGACACGGUCCAGACUCCUACGGGAGGCAGCAGUAGGGAAUCUUCCGCAAUGGGCGAAAGCCUGACGGAGCAACGCCGCGUGAGUGAUGAAGGUCUUCGGAUCGUAAAACUCUGUUAUUAGGGAAGAACAAAUGUGUAAGUAACUAUGCACGUCUUGACGGUACCUAAUCAGAAAGCCACGGCUAACUACGUGCCAGCAGCCGCGGUAAUACGUAGGUGGCAAGCGUUAUCCGGAAUUAUUGGGCGUAAAGCGCGCGUAGGCGGUUUUUUAAGUCUGAUGUGAAAGCCCACGGCUCAACCGUGGAGGGUCAUUGGAAACUGGAAAACUUGAGUGCAGAAGAGGAAAGUGGAAUUCCAUGUGUAGCGGUGAAAUGCGCAGAGAUAUGGAGGAACACCAGUGGCGAAGGCGACUUUCUGGUCUGUAACUGACGCUGAUGUGCGAAAGCGUGGGGAUCAAACAGG
RNAcentral lists this ribosomal RNA (766 nucleotides) under Staphylococcus epidermidis. Its description in RNAcentral is "bacterial SSU rRNA". It matches the Rfam family "Bacterial small subunit ribosomal RNA", at positions 28 to 776 of the family's 1533-position model. The record is from RNAcentral. Lineage: Bacteria; Bacillati; Bacillota; Bacilli; Caryophanales; Staphylococcaceae.